Molecule: ribosomal RNA, 2997 nt
Filed under: Triticum aestivum (bread wheat)
Lineage: Eukaryota; Viridiplantae; Streptophyta; Magnoliopsida; Poales; Poaceae
Description: partial small subunit ribosomal RNA
Source: RNAcentral
AUGAGCUCCGAGGCCCCCAAGAACAUGAGGACGGUCUACUCAAGGGAGUUCCUCAUCUCGAUCGGCGAGUCGGACCGCUGCAAGAACCUGCCCCCCGGCGUCAACCUGUCGCUCCUCAACGAGCUGCAGGAGGCGUCGUCGGUGGCGUACGAGAGGGGCAACAGGGGCCAGUACACGACGCCCCUCGGAAGGUCCGACGGGUCCGGGGGUUACACUUACUCGUCGCGUGGCGGGAGCUCCGGCGGGAGGUGGGACACUCGCUCGACGGGGUCGAGCGACCGGGAAGGGGACUUUCCUGACCGCGACUCGCUGACGCAGGAUAGGAAUAAUGGAACCCAAUACAAACGCACUUGGCAAAAAGUAGAACAUGAUGGCCUACUGGGAAGCGGUGGAUUCCCUAGACCAUCAGGGUAUGCAGGGCCGCUGGCGGCCAAGGAUCGUGGGAAUGCGCCUCAGCCAAACAGAACAGCUGAGCGCUAUCAGCCACCACGCCCUUACAAGGCUGGACCUCUUUCACGAAAAGAUGUUGACUCAAUGAAUGAUGAAACAUUUGGGUCUUUUGAAUGCUCAAAUGACGAUAGAGCAGAAGAAGAAAAGAAACGAAGGGCAUCAUUUGAAUUGAUGAGGAAAGAGCAACAUAAAUCUCUACAAGAAAAGAAGACUGGUCCUGGUGAUGAUAUCAUGACGAUGUUACAGAAUUCUACUGAAAACUUAGGUUCCGCAACUAACAGUGGGAAGCCAGAUGGAAUAGUGCCCUCAGUUCAUCAAGAUACCACUAAAACAUCUUCUGUUCUACCAGCUCCUGCGGCGAGGCCACUUGUCCCGCCUGGUUUCUCAAAUGCAGUUGUGGAGAAAAAGGUUCAGUCCCAGUCGUCCAACAUUGCACUUGAACCAAAGGCUCACAUUCCUGCUAGAGAGGAUAAGUUACCGACUAUUGUGCUAUUUAGUAGCCAAGUAGAGGGAAACCAGUCAGCAACAGACAUCACUGCAAGCAACAAAAAGAAGGGCAUUACUGACAAGAUUGGUGUACAUCAAAAGCACACACUUCCAUCUGGAGGCGUUAGCUCUUCAACUGAAUUUGUUCCUAAAAUUCUGAAAGGAACUGAGGACUGGGAAGCUGAUGCAAUGGAUGAUAAGUACUCCAUUGAGAAACAAGGCAUGUCAAAAAAUGGUGGUUCAGUUGGCAAGGACAAUUCAAUCUCAAUCUUGGAGGAGUUCUUUGGCAACGCAUUGUCAAAAGGCAGUGGCAAUUUACCGACAUAUGUUGAGAGUCAACAGCUGAAUACGGGUGCUGAUAUGAUGGCCUCUUCUGUACCAGAAUCAUCCAAAUUUGCUCGCUGGUUUCGUGAUGAAGAUUCAAAACCUUCAGAGGACUUGCCAUCAAAGAGCCUGCUCUCCAUGAUUGUGAACAAUGACAAAACAGGCCCACAAAACAUAGCUCCUGGUCCAACUUUGUCUGAUGGUGCUAUUCAUCAGAAUUUAUCAUCAAAAUUAACUACCGAUAAAUUCGAUGCUUCAUCAAGGCUACUACCAUUUCCAUCUUCUGCACCUGCUGGUGGUAUCCAGGAGCAGUACAGGCAUGCUGGUAUCCCAGAGCCAGCUCCAGUUAUGAUGACAUGUGAGGAUCUUGAGCAGGCGAUGCUGGCACAGGUUGCUAGCAACAGCGGUUCUACUCAGAAGAGUGCUGUACAGAGGCAUCAGGCUGUUUUGGAUGAGCCGGCCGCCAAGCAGAAAGUAGCUGUAGACAAUCAUGCAUCACAUCAUCUUCUUUCAUUAUUACAGAAGGGAACAGAUAGCAAGGGAUCAUCUCCGUUUGGUUUCCACAUAGGAUCAGCCGAUGAACCACAGAGUUCUGAUGUAAAUGCCAGGGCCAAUGGUGGUAUAUAUGGAACUGUUCCGAGUAACAAAACUGAAACUGUUCCGAUUAACAAAACUGAAACUGUUCCUGCUUCAGGGAAGAGCGUGACCUUGGAAGCAUUAUUUGGGGCUGCAUUUAUGAAUGAGCUCCAUUCCAAGGAUGCGCCAGUUUCUGUUCGGGGAUCUGCAUCUAGUCAUGAAGGAUACUACCCUGGUGAAGAGCCCUUUAACAGCAAUGAAGGUGGAGAUCCUUUUAAAGAACCAAGAACUGGAAUAGAGUACAGGAAUACACCAUUCAGUGGUCCAAGUCAGGGUACUAGCUUUGACAAGAAUGGGUUGGAAAUUAAUCUGCCUGAGGAAGACAGUUUGUUUACAAUGAAUGACUCUUUCGGUGUUCGAAAGCCUGAUAUGUUGCCAUCACUGAGAUCCGGUAGGGUGGAGGUGCAAUUACCGGAGAAGGCAGUUGAUGAUCUUAACUAUAAGCUUCAAAGCCUUGUGCCUGGUGAUGUAGAACCUGCUCAAGUACUUGGCCCUGAUGCUCUGGGGCCUCGUUCCCACGAACAGCGUUAUCAGGUUGAGUCUCAGAAUCUUUACCAUCUUCUACAGGGUGGUAGGCAACCUGCACUGGCUCCUCGUCCGAUGCUGGAUCGCGUUGGUAAUAGGAGUCAGCAAGCCCCAUUUGACAUGCCACAAGCGAUACGGCAUGAUCCCCGCCGUUCUUUCCCACCUAACAUGAAUCCUAUGCAACACACACUAAAUGCUCCAGGGGUCCCUCAUGUAGAUCCUGCUGCCCAUCAUCUUAUGCUGCAGCGCAUGAGUGGAAGUUUUCCAGCAGAAGGCUUGCCAAGAGGUGUCCUGCCAUCUCAGCCUGUGCAUCAGGCGGCUGGUUAUAGACCUGAGAUGAACAAUGUAAAUAAUUUCCAUAUGCACCCUCGCCAGCCCAGCUAUGGAGACUUUGGACUGAUGCCACCAGGUCCAUCGGGUCCAGAGGUGCGAGGCAACCACCCAGACGCCUUCGAGAGGCUGAUGCAGAUGGAGCUCACAGCCAGAUCAAAGCAGAUACACCCAGCCAUGGCCGGCCCUGUACCAGGCGGCGGCAUGUACGGGCCCGAGCUCGACAUGAACCUGAGAUACAGAUGA